UUGGAAAGAAAAGCUCCCAGCUCUUUCCAGCACAGAGCAUCUUGGGGUCAACAGCUGAAAAAAUGAACUAGUAAACUCACUGCUAUCACCUGAAAUUCAUUACUUUUCCUUAAUAAGGUAAAAUAUGUACCUGAAGGACUUCAUCCUGUGGCAGAGUGAAUUCCAUUCACAUUCCAGCAGUUUGCAGAGACCUGCUGCCUGUAGGGUGGAGUGACACUGGAGAAGUUCAUGGAGAACUGACUACUUUGGGAGGAACCCCACAGUGCAGCAGGGGAAGGAUUCCUUUUUCUGAGCAGCGGCAGAAACAAUGCGUGAUGAACUGACUGCAACCCCCCAUACCCUGCUUCCCUGCAAUAUCUGGGGGGAAAGAGGUAGAGGAGGGAAGGAGAAAGAGCUGAGAAGUGGAGUAAUAAAGCAGCUUUGGUGAGUGUCUGGAGUCCAGCCAGGGACAACUCACUCAAAUGUCAAUGACAUUUUGGAAACUCAAAGUCACAGGCACCCUGUAUUACCAAACCUCUGUGUGUGACUUAUGGAAAUGGAUUUGAUUGGUGUGCAAGCUAAUAAAAUAAGUCACUAGAUUACUGAUGAUCAUGAGUGAAGAUAUAGAAGAAUGAAGAUACAGAAGAGUGAAGAUGUCAAGUAAUGCAUAAUUAAAAUGACUGAUUCAUGAUCAAGGCACUAUUUUCACUUCCUGCACUGAGGAAUCCUUCCCCAGGUAUUAUUGAUUCUUGGCUCAGGCUUUGAUUUCUUUGUACAGCUCUGUUCCUCUAAUGUUUAGAAAGGCAAGUGCUGCCAUACCAAGACAAAACAUUUUGCAUCGGGUCAAAGGAUGUCACAUCAACAGGAAAACCUUUGUUGCUAUUGCAGUGCCCACAGACAAUUUUACUGUCUCUAAUAACUCUAUGGAAAAAGCCUGGGUCUGCAGUAGGUCAGCCUACACAUUGUGGUGAUAUAAAACCAAUUAAUUAUCCUGCAAAGAUGAAAACAAAUGAGGAAGAAGAGUGAAAGCAUACACAAACACAAGCAUAAAUCAAACUUUGUCUUUUUGCACAUUGAUGCAUAUAUUUUUGUGAGGGCUGAAGUCACAAAUACUCUGUUGUAAUUAAUAUUGUGCUCCAGUGAAUUAGGAAUAAUUUCUGCAGUAAGACCAGGGGGCCUGUGGAUGACCCUUCUGCAAAGAAAUUGAUAUUCCAGAGGAAAUUGGCUACCAGCAGCAUGAAGCUAUCUAAAGAAAAAGCUACAUCCGCUGAGGUGAAGUUUAAGACGGUGUUCCACAUGGUUUGUUUUAAAACGUAUUUUAUGUGUGAGGCUUAGUUGCAUUUUUCAUUCCUAUAAACUGUGCUCUAAAACUAUAAAACAUACUGCUGCUUGAAAAAAACCUGUUAUUUUUCUGUGUAGGCAUUUUUUGAAGCUAUUGUCUUUGUGUAAUGAUGCAAAUUUAUGAAUUAUACUAACUUGUUUAAAAAGAUAUCAAUCUGCUUAUGUGGCUGUAAUCAUUAUUGAUAUUUUUCUCUUUUUUGGAGUGUGAUGCAAGACCAAAACUAUCGAUUUCACUGUUGUAUGGCAAGGUACAGGGAUGCUCCAUUGAAGCAUUUGCUUUUCUAUAUAGAUUCUAUGAAAUGAAAAAU
This is a non-coding RNA of Cyanistes caeruleus (blue tit), 1628 nucleotides long. Lineage: Eukaryota; Metazoa; Chordata; Aves; Passeriformes; Paridae. The record is from RefSeq and is a predicted model, not a curated record.